AAAAUUGCACCGUAACCGACCUAACUGACCAUCCCAAAAACCGACCGAAACCGAUUUUGGGGGUGCAGUUCGGUCAGUUAAUUUGGUAGAAAUUUUUUGUCGGUUUUAAGGAAAACCGACCGAAACCAACCCGUAACCGACUUUGCACAGUCUUACUCCACAUCCAUCAUCGGUUUACUACCUCGAUAUUAUCGUCGUUGUGGGUGUCUUUUUGGUUUGCAGAAGCUUCUUUUAGUAUUUUUCUCACUCUUGCCUUCUGUUCUGAGUUCUGCGUGGAUUGCUUUUCCCUCAACUCUCUGUGCUUCUCUGCAUCUGGAGCUGUCUACCAUUUGUGUGUUUAGCUCACCAGCUUGGGAUUUUUUUGGUGGAAACGACUUUCAGCUCUCAGGUGUUUGAGUUCUGUUUGACUCAGUUUGUGGAAUUUUCUUCUUUGUCUUCUCGGUUCAGUUCAGUUUCUCUUAAAUACGUUUUUUGCUUUCCCUGCGGGUUUCUGAGUGUUUUCUUCUUUCCCUCGCACUCUCGCGCUUUUUCUUUGAGUUUUUUGAGGCGUUCAUGUUGUUUCUUUUCUCUAUUCCAUCAAUUUAUGCUUCUCUUUUGUUUAUUGGUUUUCUCUGAUUCUGUGUUAUUGUGGGUAAUUUCUUGAUGUGUUUUGUUUGGCUUUGAUGGUUGAGUUUUGCAGUUUACUGGAGAUGAUCCUGUUGAAGUUUCCAUUCCAAUUGCAUUUUACUGCAAUGUGUUGUCUUUAUUAUUUGUUCAAAUUAAAAUCAUUGAUUUGUACUUUAGUUUAUUUAUCAUUCUUUCAUUGUUAGCGUAACUGUUCUAUAUUUUUGUCUAUUUAUUACCUUUCCUUUUAUUUCAUUCUUUGGGGAUUUCAUUUAUUCAAUUUUAAAUGUUUUAAAAAUGGCAUUUUGCUAAUUCUUAGUUUAGUUUAUUUAUCUAUCUUUCUUUGUUAGCAUAUCUGUCUUAUGUUGUUGGCUAUUUAUUAUGUUUCCUUUUAUUUGAGUGUUAG
RNAcentral lists this long non-coding RNA (1009 nucleotides) under Theobroma cacao (cacao). Its description in RNAcentral is "long non-coding RNA (TCAC_LNC001176)". Lineage: Eukaryota; Viridiplantae; Streptophyta; Magnoliopsida; Malvales; Malvaceae. The record is from RNAcentral.